Molecule: ribosomal RNA, 253 nt
Filed under: uncultured bacterium
Lineage: Bacteria
Description: partial 16S ribosomal RNA
Rfam family: Bacterial small subunit ribosomal RNA
Source: RNAcentral
GCAAGUCGAGGGGUAACGGAAGUAGCUUGCUACUAGACGACGACCGGCGCACGGGUGAGUAACGCGUAUGCAACCUACCUUUUACAGAGGGAUAGCCCAGAGAAAUUUGGAUUAAUACCUCAUAGUAUUACUGAAUCGCAUGAUUUGGUAAUUAAAGCUCCGGCGGUACAAGAUGAACAUGCGUGACAUUAGCUAGUUGGUAAGGUAACGGCUUACCAAGACUAUGAUAGGUAGGGGUUCUGAGAGGACAAUC